This 251-nucleotide unclassified non-coding RNA is filed under the name uncultured fungus. Its description in RNAcentral is "partial contains 5.8S rRNA and ITS2". Lineage: Eukaryota; Fungi. The record is from RNAcentral.
AACGCACAUUGCGCCCCUUGGUAUUCCAUGGGGCAUGCCUGUUCGAGCGUCAUUUGUACCUUCAAGCUUUGCUUGGUGAUGGGUGUUUGUUCUAUCCUUUUGUGACUGGACUCGCCUUAAAAUUAUUGGCAGCCGGCAUAUUGGCCUUUGGAGCGCAGCACAUUUUGCGAUCUAAGCCUGUAUACUGGUAUCCAUUAAGCCUUAUCAUCACUUUUGACCUCGGAUCAGGUAGGGAUACCCGCUGAACUUAA